RNAcentral lists this long non-coding RNA (199 nucleotides) under Physcomitrium patens. RNAcentral's name for it is "long non-coding RNA (PPAT_LNC007356)". The record is from RNAcentral. Lineage: Eukaryota; Viridiplantae; Streptophyta; Bryopsida; Funariales; Funariaceae.
GGAUAUCUUCUCUCAUGCAAAGAAGAUGAGCCUUCAUGCACCUCUUGCUGCCUUUUAUGGCUCAUACACUUCCUUCUCUCAUUCAUUGGUUGAUAUUCUUCAUCUUCAUUCUCUUCAUUGUGCUUGUUGUAUCUUGCUGGAAUUGAAGUCUUUAUAGAGUUGGGCUCUUCUUCAAUGAUAUCUUCAUUUCCAUCUUCAC